Molecule: ribosomal RNA, 683 nt
Filed under: Alkaliphilus sp.
Lineage: Bacteria; Bacillati; Bacillota; Clostridia; Peptostreptococcales; Natronincolaceae
Description: bacterial LSU rRNA
Rfam family: Bacterial large subunit ribosomal RNA
Source: RNAcentral
AGGUCAAGAUAAUAAGAGCAAAGGGCGAAUGCCUAGCCACCAGAAGCCGAAGAAGGACGUGGUAAGCUGCGAAAAGCUACGCCAAGCUGCAAACAAGCAAAAAAAGCGUAGAUGUCCGAAUGGGGAAACCCACUUAAGGUAAUGCUUAAGUAUCGAUAUGUGAAUAAAAUAGCAUAUACGAAGGUAAAGCAGGGGAACUGAAACAUCUAAGUACCCUGAGGAAAAGAAAGAAAAAUCGAUUCCCCGAGUAGCGGCGAGCGAAACGGGAAGAGCCCAAACCUAGCGGACGAAAGGAAGCUGGGGGUUGAGGAUACAGCAACAAAGUAGAUAGAAAUUGGUAGUAGAAUAGACCUGGGAAGGUCAACCGAAGAAGGUAAAAGUCCAGUAUACGAAACCAAAAGAAAUCGAAAGCUGUAAUCCAGAGUACCACGGGACACGUGAAACCCUGUGGGAAGCAGGGGGGACCACCCCCCAAGGCUAAAUACUAACUGGUGAGCGAUAGUGAACAAGUACCGUGAGGGAAAGGUGAAAAGAACCCCGGAAGGGGAGUGAAAAAGAACCUGAAACCCUUUGCUUACAAUCUGUGGGAGCCUGAAGUAAGUUUACUUACACGGGUGACCGCGUACUUUUUGUAGAACGGGCCAACGAGUUACGGUGUGCAGCAAGGUUAAAUGAUUAAGUCA